This 1172-nucleotide unclassified non-coding RNA is filed under the name Hevea brasiliensis (rubber tree). The record is from RNAcentral. Lineage: Eukaryota; Viridiplantae; Streptophyta; Magnoliopsida; Malpighiales; Euphorbiaceae.
AGCAACUCCUAGAAAUGUGAUGAUGAACCCAGUAAGAAGUCCAAUAACAGCAACUACUGCCAAAAUCAAUAGAAACUUGAAUUUAGCGGCUGCAAUCAAAGAAAGAACACCACACCAUAUGACUGAGAGAAUUGAUGUCAUCCUCAUACACAGAAAGGACUCAAUUCCUCUAAGGGCACAAUCCAACCAAACCAUUGAUAACAAAAGCAUUAUAUUUCCAAAAUGCAUGAUCCACCUAAACACUAUAGGGUAUGCUUGCUGACCCUUUUCUUGAACAUAACCAAUUGCAACUAAUAAAUUGCUCUUUAAAGGGUCAAGCAAAGGUUUCCACCUCUCUAACCACUGAAUUGAUACCUUUGAGGCAGACAAAGCCAACGUCAUCAAGUUCCUAAAAACAACCAUCAUAGACACUUUAAAAUUUUCUAAUGUAUUGUCUCCAUCUAGUCCUGUUCCUAAGUGACCAAAACAUCCCUUUGAAUUAUCUGAGUGCUUACUAGAGUUUGGAGAUGUAUCAAUUCCUUUUCCUGACUCAGAAUCCACCCCUCUACUUUUACAAUUUUGGAAAAUUCCUGCAUCAGUGUCUUCUGGCCCUGUUUCCUCUGGAAUCGACAAUGUAUCAAUACCUUCCUUUUCCUUUUUAAGUGAUCUUCUAGAUUUGUUCUUGCUUUUCUUCUUGCCUUCACUUUCAUGUUUAUUGUUUAAGCUCUCUGUUAUAGAUAUGCCAGAAAGGUUACCAUUAAAAGGUUCUUCAGCAUUUUUGCCUUCUGCCUCAGUCAGAUUACUGUUUUCAUUCUCAUUUAACAAUCCAGAUCCAGAAUCUGAAACUCCUUUUCUGUAUUUCUGUCGGUUUCCUUUGCGAGCCAUUGACUAUAUAUGGUAUCAACAAACUCCAGCGACAAGCCAGUUCAACUCAUCUCCAGUGCCUUGUCAUAUAUCAAAAGUCCUUUUCCUGGGGCAAGACGAAGUUGAGAGAUACUAAAAUCUAGACACCAAACCUCUUGAAUUAGGGCUUGAAAACAGGAUAAGGAUCAGGGAAAUUGAAAUUUGAAACUCAUAUGCUGGAUAGAUUCGAACGAAUUCUCAGAGAAAUCAGUCUCACCGCUGGGUCAAGAAGAAGAAGAAGAUGAGGGUCGGUCCAGUCGUUUGUACGUUGUGUGUGUGUGUGUUUGAAA